This 436-nucleotide ribosomal RNA is filed under the name uncultured bacterium. RNAcentral's name for it is "partial 16S ribosomal RNA". It matches the Rfam family "Bacterial small subunit ribosomal RNA", at positions 29 to 507 of the family's 1533-position model. The record is from RNAcentral.
AACGAACGCUGGCGGCAUGCCUAACACAUGCAAGUCGAACGAGAUCCUUCGGGGUCUAGUGGCGCACGGGUGCGUAACGCGUGGGAAUCUGCCCUUAGGUUCGGAAUAACAGUUAGAAAUGACUGCUAAUACCGGAUGAUGACGUUAAGUCCAAAGAUUUAUCGCCUGAGGAUGAGCCCGCGUAGGAUUAGCUAGUUGGUGUGGUAAAGGCGCACCAAGGCGACGAUCCUUAGCUGGUCUGAGAGGAUUAUCAGCCACACUGGGACUGAGACACGGCCCAGACUCCUACGGGAGGCAGCAGUGGGGAAUAUUGGACAAUGGGCGCAAGCCUGAUCCAGCAAUGCCGCGUGAGUGAUGAAGGCCUUAGGGUUGUAAAGCUCUUUUACCCGGGAUGAUAAUGACAGUACCGGGAGAAUAAGCCCCGGCUAACUCCGUG